GGGAUACACCUUGGAAACAGGUGCUAAUACCGGAUAACAACAAUAGCUGCAUGGCUAUUGCUUAAAAGGCGGCGAAAGCUGUCGCUAAAGGAUGGACCCGCGGUGCAUUAGCUAGUUGGUAAGGUAAUGGCUUACCAAGGCGACGAUGCAUAGCCGAGUUGAGAGACUGAUCGGCCACAUUGGGACUGAGACACGGCCCAAACUCCUACGGGAGGCAGCAGUAGGGAAUCUUCCACAAUGGGCGAAAGCCUGAUGGAGCAACGCCGCGUGAGUGAAGAAGGUUUUCGGAUCGUAAAGCUCUGUUGUUGGUGAAGAAGGAUAGAGGUAGUAACUGGCCCCUAUUUGACGGUAAUCAACCAGAAAGUCACGGCUAACUACGUGCCAGCAGCCGCGGUAAUACGUAGGUGGCAAGCGUUGUCCGGAUUUAUUGGGCGUAAAGCGAGCGCAGGCGGAAAGAUAAGUCUGAUGUGAAAGCCCCCGGCUUAACCGAGGAAUUGCAUCGGAAACUGUGUUUCUUGAGUGCAGAAGAGGAGAGUGGAACUCCAUGUGUAGCGGUGGAAUGCGUAGAUAUAUGGAAGAACACCAGUGGCGAAGGCGGCUCUCUGGUCUGUAACUGACGCUGAGGCUCGAAAGCAUGGGUAGCGAACAGGAUUAGAUACCCUGGUAGUCCAUGCCGUAAACGAUGAGUGAUAAGUGUUGGGA
Molecule: ribosomal RNA, 702 nt
Filed under: uncultured bacterium
Lineage: Bacteria
Description: bacterial SSU rRNA
Rfam family: Bacterial small subunit ribosomal RNA
Source: RNAcentral